UCCACCACAGUUGCAGCAAACUGCUCCCUCAGUAAGUAAUCAUGCGCCUGGGUUGGGUGCCUCUGCAAUUCCUCUCUCGUCACCAUAUACUUUUACCCCACCUUUUGGCCAGCCACAAAAUAAUGUCAGUGCAUCGUCCCAGUUCCAGCCGAUGCCUCAAAUACAUGCACCUGUUGUUCCUGCAGGUGGACAACCUUGGUUGGCCCCUGGAAGCAAUGGUGUAUCACAUGGUGCAGCAAUACAGCCAACCGGGCAGCAGCCUUCUGUAUCUUCUUCCUCAGAUCCAGCAGUGAAUGUUCCUAGCCAUAAUCAACAGUCUUCAUCUGACUGGCAAGAGCACACAGCUUCUGAUGGAAGGAGGUUUGGUUUUCGCAUAGCUGUGAUUUUUGUCUCUGUUUAUGUUAUUCAAAAUUUUUCUACUGAUACCACUACCACCUUUUAUAAGAGUCCAUAUUUUAUUGCUGUAGUUUGUAAUUAUCAACUUCUGCCUUUAUUUUAGUUUGUCUAGAAAUUGUUCAAGUCAUUCUUCCUUGUAAAAUACUUGAUAACCAGUGGAUGCUUUUUUCCAGAUAUUACUACAACAAAAGAACAAAACAAUCUAGUUGGGAG
RNAcentral lists this unclassified non-coding RNA (609 nucleotides) under Hevea brasiliensis (rubber tree). Lineage: Eukaryota; Viridiplantae; Streptophyta; Magnoliopsida; Malpighiales; Euphorbiaceae. The record is from RNAcentral.